GCCAGUCCAAAGAACACCAGCAAUUCCUCACCUUCUUGCAAAGGCUCCUUGGGCCUUUGUUAGAGGCCUAUAGCUCUGCUGCCAUCUUCAUCCAUAACUUUAGUGGCCCGAUUUCAGAACCAGAGUAUCUGCAGAAGUUACAUAAAUACUUAAUAACCAGAACAGAAAGGAAUGUUGCUGUAUAUGCUGAGAGUGCUACAUACUGUCUUGUGAAGAAUGCAGUGAAAAUCUUUAAGGACAUUGGGGUUUUCAAGGAGACAAAACAAAAGAGAAUAUCAAUUUUGGAGUUAAGCAACACUUUUCUACCUCAGUGUAACCGGCAGAAACUACUGGAAUAUAUUUUAAGCUUUGUUGUAUUAUAGAAGAAUGGUAGCACUUUUGCUUAAAAAGGAAAAUAAAGGGGGUGGGGAGGGUGAGGCCAGCACAGUCUCCAGGAUUUCACUGGCCCAACAGUUGGAGGUGCCAUUAUGUGUAGGACCUUAUCUGCCUGGAUCUACUGGAAGACAAGUGCCUUCUUCCAUCCAUGGAUUUGUGAUAAUCCUUCUUCAGUAAUAUAAUAACCUACAGCGAACACUUGGAUUUAGCCUCAAUUUGCAAAUCAAAAUCAGUAGACUUAAAAAUGAAAUCUCAGCAAAUUAUUUUGGAUUUUAUUGAAUAGCUCCAUUUUAAAUAACUACUUUUAAGGUCUAAUUCCUGUUGUUUUGCAAAAAAAAAAAAAAAAUGUAGUGGUAAGCAAAAGCCCCUGAGCUUGUUUAGCAAACAUAGUGCUUUCAGCAAACCCACCAGGAUUUAAGUGCUUUUAAAAAUAAGUUUAAAUCAUCCAAUUCACUCACUUUUUUACGCGCUCUAAAAAAAUAGAAUAAUAUAAUUUUUCAUAUGUGCACCUUUCAUCAGAAAGCUCUUUAAGAAUUGAAUGGGCUGAUACAAAUUGUAGCCUGGGAUCAAUGUUGUUUUCUUUAGGAGUCUGAUAUAAAAGUUGUUAUAGAGCUGCAUGAAAUGAAAUAAUAGCUGAAAUUAAAAUUACUAUAAAUAACAUAGCAGGGAAUAAAUCAAGUAGUCAGAGUUCAAAAGGAGCUGGCCAGGUAUCUUUCACUUUUGCAAAAAGUGCCAUUGAGUUUUAUUGACCACAGUAUACAACUGAUCAUUCAAUUAGUGUUCAGGACCUCUUAUUUUAUAUCUAUAUCCGCAAGGGGUGCACCUUGCAUAGCAUCGUGUCUUUUUACUUCUUUCUGAAGUAUGAAGGAAAUUGCCACAUACUGAAUUGUCCAGCAUUGAUUUAUUUCUAUAGCAUUUGGGUGCUUCUUGGAAGACUCCCACCUAGCCAUGGAUUUAGCUUAACUUGCCUUCUCGUCAGGCGAUGAGAUCUGAGCCUACGGUGCUGUGGCUGGGAAGCCACUACCUUGUAACUCAGCUGCUUUGUGAAGUAAUCAUGCAUGGACAACAGUUAGCUUUGUGAAAAAUCCAUGGUUCUUCAAAAUUACAGGGAAACUACAUGCCAAAACCUAUCAUGUUGAAUUGUUAUUGAGACCACAUAGUGGGCAAAUAAUUAUGAAAGGCUGUCUGUUUGUGAAGGGCACGUGCCAUUUUGUUAGGAGACAGCAUAAUUGUACAUUAAUUGCACUAAUGUUGAUGUUCCCUUAAGGAUAAUGUGACAUUAAAAUGUUUUGUAAUGGA
Gracilinanus agilis (Agile Gracile Mouse Opossum) is the source of this 1674-nucleotide long non-coding RNA. RefSeq lists it as uncharacterized. The transcript is spliced from 3 exons. Lineage: Eukaryota; Metazoa; Chordata; Mammalia; Didelphimorphia; Didelphidae. The record is from RefSeq and is a predicted model, not a curated record.